AUAGGAUCACUGAUGGGGAUCGAUCCAAGACCGACUGCACAUCAGAGUUAACAGUCAUAUUGGUUAAUUUAUUUGAAGAUAUCCACAGAGAAGAUUUAAGAUACAUCAAUCCUUUAAUCCACCAGUUCCAUCAUAUACUGUACUUGUACGAGCCAGGACGUGACGAGCCAGGAUGUGACUUUUUGUCCAGUUCACUUACGGGUAUACAACUAAUAAAUGAUAUGUAUAUCAAACACUACUAAUGAAACACUGUUAGUUUAUGAAACCAAUGAUAUUUACUUGUUUUAAGUGUUUUUAUCAUCAAAAUAGGUGCAUAAAAUCCUAAUUAAUUGAACUGUUGUGCAAAAAAGAGAGUUCUUAUACAAUAUUCAUAUAAUAUACUUUUAUACCAAGUAACCAUACCAGUUGUCAACAAGAUUGCUUAUCCUGAUGUUGCUAAGUCUGGUGAUUUUUGUCCUACCUUUACAAUACAUGUACAAACUAAAAAGAUGAAGUAUUAAUCCAAGUAUUACUUUUUCGUUGGCUGCGGCAUCAACUUUUGCAUUUAGCUCAACAUUGAUUGUACAAAUGUAGCUACAUUUCUCAUAAAUUACAUGUUCUGCAUCAGUAAGCCUUCAUUUAUAGUUCUAUCUAUGAAUGUUCUCCUCAAUGCACGUCAAAAUUAGUUUUUCAACUUUAUUAUUUUAAAAUUUUAAUUAAAUUUUUUGAAGUUUGUUAUUUUAAAAAUGUUUUAAAAAUUUGUUUAACAUGCAUUGAGAUGGAUAUCUACAGGUGCACUAUCAAUGACACUGAAUACGUUUAUGCUAGGCAAAACAUUUAAUUUUGAAGAAUUCUUGUUUGCAAUUUACCAUGUUUUAGAAUUAAAAUAUAUUAUACAUGUAUUUUGCCUUUUGCUGGUAUUUUUAUGAUCAUCUGAUAUAAAUGAAAUUCAAAAUAUGAAACCUAGUCAGUAAAGAAAGUAUAGUUUUUGAACAGUUUCUUCUUUCUGUUUAUCAUCUGAUAGGCCAAACAAUAGCAAACAUCUCAAUGACACAGUUGAUUUGAAUUCCCCCAACCCAAGUUUUAUCUUCAACAUGUAUCUUUAUCAAUUAUAUCCUUCACUGGUGAAAUGUUGGUUUAUAUAUUCCAAAUCAUGUUUCGAUACUUGUAUCUGCAAAGGAAUAAACUUAA
This is a long non-coding RNA of Gigantopelta aegis, 1170 nucleotides long. RefSeq lists it as uncharacterized. The transcript is spliced from 4 exons. NCBI's taxonomy places the organism in Eukaryota, Metazoa, Mollusca, Gastropoda, Neomphalida, Peltospiridae. The record is from RefSeq and is a predicted model, not a curated record.